UACGAAGGGUGCAAGCGUUACUCGGAAUUACUGGGCGUAAAGCGUGCGUAGGUGGUUUGUUAAGUCUGUUGUGAAAGCCCCGGGCUCAACCUGGGAAUGGCAAUGGAUACUGGCAGGCUAGAGUGCGGUAGAGGGUAGUGGAAUUCCCGGUGUAGCGGUGAAAUGCGUAGAGAUCGGGAGGAACACCAGUGGCGAAGGCGGCCCGUCUGGGCCGG
This 215-nucleotide ribosomal RNA is filed under the name uncultured bacterium. Its description in RNAcentral is "partial 16S ribosomal RNA". It matches the Rfam family "Bacterial small subunit ribosomal RNA", at positions 524 to 737 of the family's 1533-position model. The record is from RNAcentral.